This 512-nucleotide ribosomal RNA is filed under the name uncultured bacterium. RNAcentral describes it as "bacterial SSU rRNA". It matches the Rfam family "Bacterial small subunit ribosomal RNA", at positions 355 to 883 of the family's 1533-position model. The record is from RNAcentral.
UGGGGAAUCUUGGACAAUGGGGGCAACCCUGAUCCAGCCAUGCCGCGUGAGUGAUGAAGGCCUUAGGGUCGUAAAGCUCUUUCGCCUGUGAAGAUAAUGACGGUAGCAGGUAAAGAAACCCCGGCUAACUCCGUGCCAGCAGCCGCGGUAAUACGGAGGGGGUUAGCGUUGUUCGGAAUUACUGGGCGUAAAGCGCACGUAGGCGGACCAGAAAGUUGGGGGUGAAAUCCCGGGGGCUCAACCCCGGAACUGCCUCCAAAACUAUUGGUCUAGAGUUCGAGAGAGGUGAGUGGAAUUCCAAGUGUAGAGGUGAAAUUCGUAGAUAUUUGGAGGAACACCAGUGGCGAAGGCGGCUCACUGGCUCGAUACUGACGCUGAGGUGCGAAAGUGUGGGGAGCAAACAGGAUUAGAUACCCUGGUAGUCCACACCGUAAAACGAUGAAUGCCAGUCGUCGGAUAGCAUGCUAUUCGGUGACACACCUAACGGAUUAAGCAUUCCGCCUGGGGAGUAC